UGGUAAUUCUAGAGCUAAUACAUGCUAAAAACCCCGACUUCGGAAGGGGUGUAUUUAUUAGAUAAAAAACCAAUGCCCUUCGGGGCUUCUUGGUGAUUCAUAAUAACUUAACGAAUCGCAUGGCCUUGCGCCGGCGAUGGUUCAUUCAAAUUUCUGCCCUAUCAACUUUCGAUGGUAGGAUAGUGGCCUACCAUGGUAUCAACGGGUAACGGGGAAUUAGGGUUCGACUCCGGAGAGGGAGCCUGAGAAACGGCUACCACAUCCAAGGAAGGCAGCAGGCGCGCAAAUUACCCAAUCCCGACACGGGGAGGUAGUGACAAUAAAUACUGAUACAGGGCUCUUUUGGGUCUUGUAAUUGGAAUGAGUACAAUCUAAAUCCCUUAACGAGGAACAAUUGGAGGGCAAGUCUGGUGCCAGCAGCCGCGGUAAUUCCAGCUCCAAUAGCGUAUAUUAAAGUUGUUGCAGUUAAAAAGCUCGUAGUUGAACCUUGGGCCUGGCUGGCCGGUCCGCCUCACCGCGUGCACUGGUCCGGCCGGGCCUUUCCUUCUGGGGAGCCGCAUGCCCUUCACUGGGCGUGUCGGGGAACCAGGACUUUUACUUUGAAAAAAUUAGAGUGUUCAAAGCAGGCCUUUGCUCGAAUACAUUAGCAUGGAAUAAUAGAAUAGGACGCGUGGUUCUAUUUUGUUGGUUUCUAGGACCGCCGUAAUGAUUAAUAGGGAUAGUCGGGGCCAUCCGUAUUCAAUUGUCAGAGGUGAAAUUCUUGGAUUUAUUGAAGACGAACUACUGCGAAAGCAUUUGGCAAGGAUGUUUUCAUUAAUCAGUGAACGAAAGUUAGGGGAUCGAAGACGAUCAGAUACCGUCGUAGUCUUAACCAUAAACUAUGCCGACUAGGGAUCGGACGGUGUUAUUAUUUUGACCCGUUCGGCACNUNA
RNAcentral lists this ribosomal RNA (932 nucleotides) under Dothideomycetes sp. TRN 245. Its description in RNAcentral is "SSU rRNA". It matches the Rfam family "Eukaryotic small subunit ribosomal RNA", at positions 150 to 1090 of the family's 1831-position model. Lineage: Eukaryota; Fungi; Ascomycota; Dothideomycetes. The record is from RNAcentral.